Molecule: long non-coding RNA, 894 nt
Organism: Triticum aestivum (bread wheat)
Lineage: Eukaryota; Viridiplantae; Streptophyta; Magnoliopsida; Poales; Poaceae
Exons: 3
Source: RefSeq, a predicted model, not a curated record
UAUCUUUUGGAAAGGUGGGUGUAGGAAAAAGGUAGAAAACCUUAAAAUGUUGUUCGUCCAAACGUGAUUUUUUUUUUCAAUAGUACAAUGGUCAACAACGUCCACACGUCAAAAUCCGAGACCAAGAGAACGCAAUGAAAGAAAAAUCUCCACGCCCAUGACCAUGGUAAAAACUCUGGCAAGCCAUUCAGAGAACCAGUUUGCAUGAUGUGAACGACACCCGUGACCAAACCAUGGACAAAAGACUGUCGUGGUUGCAGGAUGUGAAUAGCACCCGUGAGCCGUGACCAUACCAUCUUCUUCUCUGAGCCGCCCACACCAAAGAGAGAGAGAGAGAGACGUCCCCUUCAUCUCAGCUAAGACGAGCGGCGUCAGGUUGGAAAAAUCUAGAACGACGGUGCAGCGCAGCGUGAGGAUUUCGUCGACUACCCAAAGUUCUCGGCGGUAGAUGUGGCAAUAGGAGAAGCACCCAUGGAUCCCAUCUUCUCCAGAACCAAUAGCCAGAUACCUUCACAUCACCCGUCAAUCGCCGUGGAUCUUGUUGAAGACGAGAACGAUAGCAGACCAGCGAUGCCGCCACGACCAUGCCGGGAAACGAUGGAUGGAUAAGACAGCAGAAGUAAUCACCUUAAUACCGGUAUCUGCAAUUCUGCAUCGUUUUUCAGAAACAGAACUAGCAAUUCUUUCCGGGCACCAAUAGAAGCAUAUCGAAGUGCUAUAGAGCGUGCAAUUGAAGGAGCAUCAAAACUUGGGAAACAGUUGUUUUCGAACCAGCUGUUGGCUUAAUCAAUGAAAUGGCAAGUCUUUUGCCUUGUUUCAAAAAAAAUCCGAGCAGGAGGCGUAUGAGUUCUACAACACAUAUUCAUGAUGGCUUGGAUUCAGCAUCAGGCGGGG